Molecule: long non-coding RNA, 1239 nt
Organism: Ictalurus punctatus (channel catfish)
Lineage: Eukaryota; Metazoa; Chordata; Actinopteri; Siluriformes; Ictaluridae
Source: Ensembl
CAUACACUGAUUUUAAUAAUGCUCUUUCUCUAUGCAAUGGAGUCUAAAGCCAUACAAUAAAUGCAACAACUGAAUUGAAACGGAAAUUACAUUAAAAUAAUAAACAUGCUCAUCAUAAAAAAUAGCUUUACAAAUAGUAUACAUUUCUAUACAUGUUUUUAUUCAAUGGAUCGUGUCCUUGGGCCGAUGGCCAAUUUUGAUCAUAGACUGUAUAUAAUAGCAUAUUCUCUGAAAUGUUAUGUUAAAAAAAAAGAAAAAGAAAAAGAAAGACUUAAUAUACACACAUUGCUCACAAUGAGAAAUUACAUUUUAUGAUGGUAAUCAUGUUUUUUAAAUUUUUUUUUAUUUGUUAUAUCUGUUUCUUUACAUUCUCCAUUUCUCCAUGAGUACAUUAUACAGAAGUCAGAUGCAGGAAAAAAAAGUUAGGACAUUGAAGAAAAAAAAAGAAGCAGAACUUUCUAAAGCCAUCAAAUUUUGCCAUACAAAAAUAGAGUCCACUAUCAGUGUUUUGUAACUGAGAUCAAUGAGUAACUGAGAUGUGGUGUUUAUCUGCAGUUUAUCAUCCAUUAAACAUGCUGUAUGUAGGAAUACAUGAUAAAACACACGAAUCCAUAUUGGUUCAAAGGAUAAACAUGAAUCAAAUACUAGUUAAUUUAGUGAUAAUUCUCAGGACAAUGUGGCCGAUCUACAGACGUGACAUGGCAGUACAGUGCUGAAAGUCUUUGGGCUAGUUUUCUGGACUGACUGAACUGGGAUUUGUCAUUUAGGCGCAGGUGCAGCACUGGAUCGGGAAACCAACCAAAUGUUUGGACAUCAUUGAAUUAAUGGGGUGUGAACAGUCGAACAUUAAAGUAAAUAUUAUCACCAUUGCUGAAAGCUUGAGUGGGGAUGGCACACCUGAGGCGGUUAUUACACAGCACUGUGUGAGGCUGAAGAAAAGAACGAGAAUGAGAUCAGGGGCUGAUGAGAAAGAUGGCAAGAUAGAGAAAUAAAGGGAGGACGAAAUGAGAGAAGGACAAAGCGGGAAUUCGAGAUGGAAAGAGAGAGAGAUGAGUAUGACUCAUGGCAGACACAUGGCAGUGCUUGCCGGAGGGAAGCCACAGCAGCUACAGCAGCAUCUGCUUUCCUCCACUGCAGAAGGGAAAAAUCCAAUGAAAGAAAUGCGUGAGGUGAUGAACGACGAUAAAUCUUCUUCAGUCUUAAUAACAGCACUGCGUUCUCUUUAAGACUAUAUCCCCC